This 880-nucleotide ribosomal RNA is filed under the name uncultured archaeon pPACMA-H. Its description in RNAcentral is "bacterial SSU rRNA". It matches the Rfam family "Archaeal small subunit ribosomal RNA", at positions 22 to 903 of the family's 1478-position model. The record is from RNAcentral.
GGCCAUUGCUAUCGGAGUCCGAUUUAGCCAUGCUAGUUGUACGAGUUUAGACUCGUAGCAUAUAGCUCAGUAACACGUGGCCAAACUACCCUACAGACCGCAAUAACCUCGGGAAACUGAGGCCAAUAGCGGAUAUAACUCUCAUGCUGGAGUGCCGAGAGUUAGAAACGUUCCGGCGCUGUAGGAUGUGGCUGCGGCCGAUUAGGUAGAUGGUGGGGUAACGGCCCACCAUGCCGAUAAUCGGUACGGGUUGUGAGAGCAAGAACCCGGAGACGGUAUCUGAGACAAGAUACCGGGCCCUACGGGGCGCAGCAGGCGCGAAACCUUUACACUGCACGACAGUGCGAUAGGGGGACUCCGAGUGCGAGGGCAUAUAGCCCUCGCUUUUCUGUACCGUAAGGUGGUACAGGAACAAGGACUGGGCAAGACCGGUGCCAGCCGCCGCGGUAAUACCGGCAGUCCAAGUGAUGGCCGAUAUUAUUGGGCCUAAAGCGUCCGUAGCCGGCCGGACAAGUCCGUUGGGAAAUCGACGCGCUCAGCGCGUCGGCGUCCAGCGGAAACUGUCCGGCUUGGGGCCGGAAGACCUGAGGGGUACGUCCGGGGUAGGAGUGAAAUCCUGUAAUCCUGGACGGACCACCAAUGGGGAAACCACCUCAGGAAGACGGACCCGACGGUGAGGGACGAAAGCUAGGGUCUCGAACCGGAUUAGAUACCCGGGUAGUCCUAGCUGUAAACGAUGCUCGCUAGGUGUGCCGUAGGCUACGAGCCUGCGCUGCGCCCUAGGGAAGCCGAGAAGCGAGCCGCCUGGGAAGUACGUCUGCAAGGAUGAAACUUAAAGGAAUUGGCGGGGGAGCACCACAACCGGAGGAGCCUGCGGUUU